AGUGAACGCUGGCGGUAGGCCUAACACAUGCAAGUCGAACGAGUGUCGGACGGGUGAGGAAUACAUCGGAAUCUACUCUGUCGUGGGGGAUAACGUAGGGCAACUUACGCUAAUACCGCAUACGAUUGAAUGAGCCGAUGUCGGAUUAGCUAGUUGGCGGGGUAAAGGCCCACCAAGGCGACGAUCCGUAGCUGGUCUGAGAGGAUGAUCAGCCACACUGGAACGGAGCCACGGUCCAGAUCCUUACGGAGGGCAGAAGUGGGGAAUAUUGGACAAGGGGGGCAAGCCGGAUCCAGCCAUACCGGGGGGGUGAAGAAGGCCUUCGGUUUGUAAAGCCCUUUUGUUGGGAAAGCGGUACCCAAAGAAUAAGCACCGGCUAACUUCGUGCCAGCAGCCGCGGUAAUAC
Molecule: ribosomal RNA, 406 nt
Filed under: uncultured bacterium
Lineage: Bacteria
Description: partial 16S ribosomal RNA
Rfam family: Bacterial small subunit ribosomal RNA
Source: RNAcentral